GGGGCCAUGGGGAAGCUUGGUAUCCUUCCAGGUUUGGGACCUGGCGUCGUCGGUUCAAAUCCGGCUGGCCCCA
RNAcentral lists this transfer RNA (73 nucleotides) under Candidatus Pacearchaeota archaeon. Its description in RNAcentral is "tRNA-Pro". It matches the Rfam family "tRNA". Rfam says of the family: Transfer RNA (tRNA) molecules are approximately 80 nucleotides in length. Their secondary structure includes four short double-helical elements and three loops (D, anti-codon, and T loops). Further hydrogen bonds mediate the characteristic L-shaped molecular structure. tRNAs have two regions of fundamental functional importance: the anti-codon, which is responsible for specific mRNA codon recognition, and the 3' end, to which the tRNAs corresponding amino acid is attached (by aminoacyl-tRNA synthetases). tRNAs cope with the degeneracy of the genetic code in two manners: having more than one tRNA (with a specific anti-codon) for a particular amino acid; and 'wobble' base-pairing, i.e. permitting non-standard base-pairing at the 3rd anti-codon position. Lineage: Archaea; Nanobdellati. The record is from RNAcentral.